GGAUGGGAAAGUGCUCUGGUUGGCUGGCUGUCACCCCUUUGGGGACAUUGGCUAGGCAGUAUCCUCUUCCCUCGUUCCUCCACAUGUCCCUCCUGAAGCUGCAUGCUUGGUUGAAGAGGGUGGUCUUUCCUAAUGGAAGAGNACUGUUCCUUGGUCAAGGGUACAUAUGCAGCUCACUCCCCNGGUGGAACCUCCAAGCUCCCAAAGACAGUCUCCAGGGACUAGAAGAGCUCUAUUUUAGGAUAACUCCUGAAGGAAUGGCUGUUUACUAGUUGUAUUCCAACCA
This 286-nucleotide small nuclear RNA is filed under the name Neotoma lepida (desert woodrat). Its description in RNAcentral is "7SK RNA". It matches the Rfam family "7SK RNA". Rfam says of the family: 7SK was discovered as an abundant small nuclear RNA in the mid-70s but a possible function has only recently been suggested. Two independent studies have found that 7SK RNA binds the CDK9/cyclin T complex (known as elongation factor P-TEFb). The record is from Rfam by way of RNAcentral. Lineage: Eukaryota; Metazoa; Chordata; Mammalia; Rodentia; Cricetidae.